Molecule: ribosomal RNA, 253 nt
Filed under: uncultured bacterium
Lineage: Bacteria
Description: partial 16S ribosomal RNA
Rfam family: Bacterial small subunit ribosomal RNA
Source: RNAcentral
GACGUAGGAUGCAAGCGUUGUCCGGAUUCAUUGGGCGUAAAGAGUUCGUAGGUGGUCUGUUACGUUUGGUGUUAAAGAACGGGGCCCAACCCCGGUAGUGCACUGAAUACUGGCAGACUUGAGUGCGGUAGAGGUAAGUGGAAUUCCCAGUGUAGCGGUGAAAUGCAUAGAUAUUGGGAAGAACACCGGUGGCGUAAGCGACUUACUGGGCCGUAACUGACACUGAGGAACGAAAGCCGGGGUAGCGAAUGGG